GAUGAACGCUGGCGGCGUGCUUAACACAUGCAAGUCGAACGAUGAAGCCCAGCUUGCUGGGUGGAUUAGUGGCGAACGGGUGAGUAACACGUGAGUAACCUGCCCUUAACUCUGAGAUAAGCCUGGGAAACUGGGUCUAAUACCGGAUAGGAGCGCCUACCGCAUGGUGGGUGUUGGAAAGAUUUAUCGGUUUUGGAUGGACUCGCGGCCUAUCAGCUUGUUGGUGAGGUAAUGGCUCACCAAGGCGACGACGGGUAGCCGGCCUGAGAGGGUGACCGGCCACACUGGGACUGAGACACGGCCCAGACUCCUACGGGAGGCAGCAGUGGGGAAUAUUGCACAAUGGGCGAAAGCCUGAUGCAGCGACGCCGCGUGAGGGAUGACGGCCUUCGGGUUGUAAACCUCUUUCAGUAGGGAAGAAGCGAAAGUGACGGUACCUGCAGAAGAAGCACCGGCUAACUACGUG
This 466-nucleotide ribosomal RNA is filed under the name uncultured bacterium. RNAcentral describes it as "partial 16S ribosomal RNA". It matches the Rfam family "Bacterial small subunit ribosomal RNA", at positions 28 to 507 of the family's 1533-position model. The record is from RNAcentral.